Molecule: ribosomal RNA, 429 nt
Filed under: Pseudomonadota bacterium
Lineage: Bacteria; Pseudomonadati; Pseudomonadota
Description: Proteobacteria bacterium partial 16S ribosomal RNA
Rfam family: Bacterial small subunit ribosomal RNA
Source: RNAcentral
UGGGGAAUAUUGGACAAUGGGCGAAAGCCUGAUCCAGCCAUGCCGCGUGUGUGAAGAAGGUCUUCGGAUUGUAAAGCACUGUAAGUUGGGAGGAAGGGCAGUAAGCGAAUACCUUGCUGUUUUGACGUUACCGACAGAAUAAGCACCGGCUAACUCUGUGCCAGCAGCCGCGGUAAUACAGAGGGUGCAAGCGUUAAUCGGAAUUACUGGGCGUAAAGCGCGCGUAGGUGGUUCGUUAAGUUGAAUGUGAAAGCCCCGGGCUCAACCUGGGAACUGCAUCCAAAACUGGCGAGCUAGAGUAGGGCAGAGGGUGGUGGAAUUUCCUGUGUAGCGGUGAAAUGCGUAGAUAUAGGAAGGAACACCAGUGGCGAAGGCGACCACCUGGGCUCAUACUGACACUGAGGUGCGAAAGCGUGGGGAGCAAACAGG